AACAAAUUGGUCAAGUUAAUAUAUUACAGUAUAAAAGAGGGUUAGGGAGUAAUAAUUGUUAGGAAAAUUUAUGUUUUUUUUAGAGGUAGAAUUUAUAUAAAAAAAAUAAUCUAUGAUUUUCUUUUAUCUUGAGGCCCUGAAAUCUUAGUAAGAGACCGGGAUUAGAUACCCCGUUAUUUAAGACUUAAAGUUCAGUUAAUUUAAAUUUACUAGGGUACUACGAGAGGCAGAAAUUUUAGUUUUGCUGUAUUCUUAAAACUCAAAAGACUUGGCGGUGCCUCAAUCCUUUCAGGGGAACCUGUCCUGUAAUCGAUGACCCACGUUUUACCUUACCUACUCUUGAAUUUUCUAUGAUUUUUUGGGAUAAGCAGCCUGUAUACCGUCGUCGAUCAGGUAAUCCCUAGAGGGAAAAGAAGCUACCGAGAGAAUAAAUAGCUAUAGUUAAUUUGUUUAAAUGAAAAAAUAUUAAUUAUAAUAAUGUUUUUUAAUGUAUUUAAAAUUUAGUUAAUUAUUUUUAAGACAGAUCAAGGUGCAGCUAAUGGGUAGGCUAGAGAUGGGUUACAAUAAUAAUUUAUUAAAACGGAUUUAUAUUUGUAAUAAUAGAGUUUAAUGAAGGAGGACUUGAAAGUAAUGAAUUUAGAAUAGAGAGCUUUCGUGAAAUUGGCUCUGGGGUGUGU
RNAcentral lists this ribosomal RNA (677 nucleotides) under Rotaliotina springsteeni. RNAcentral describes it as "partial 12S ribosomal RNA". Lineage: Eukaryota; Metazoa; Mollusca; Gastropoda; Trochida; Liotiidae. The record is from RNAcentral.